CCUACGGGCGGCAGCAGUGGGGAAUAUUGGACAAUGGGCGAAAGCCUGAUCCAGCCAUGCCGCGUGUGUGAAGAAGGCCUUCGGGUUGUAAAGCACUUUCAGUGGGGAAGAAAGCCUUGGGGCUAAUACCCUCGAGGAAGGACAUCACCCACAGAAGAAGCACCGGCUAACUGCCGUGCCAGCAGCCGCGGUAAUACGGAGGGUGCGAGCGUUAAUCGGAAUUACUGGGCGUAAAGCGCGCGUAGGCGGUCUGAUAAGCCGGUUGUGAAAGCCCCGGGCUCAACCUGGGAACGGCAUCCGGAACUGUCAGGCUAGAGUGCAGGAGAGGAAGGUAGAAUUCCCGGUGUAGCGGUGAAAUGCGUAGAGAUCGGGAGGAAUACCAGUGGCGAAGGCGGCCUUCUGGACUGACACUGACGCUGAGGUGCGAAAGCGUGGGUAGCAAACAGGAUUAGAUACCCCUGUAGUC
Molecule: ribosomal RNA, 466 nt
Filed under: Vreelandella stevensii
Lineage: Bacteria; Pseudomonadati; Pseudomonadota; Gammaproteobacteria; Oceanospirillales; Halomonadaceae
Description: partial 16S ribosomal RNA
Rfam family: Bacterial small subunit ribosomal RNA
Source: RNAcentral